RNAcentral lists this long non-coding RNA (12593 nucleotides) under Nicotiana benthamiana. RNAcentral's name for it is "long non-coding RNA (NBEN_LNC036694)". The record is from RNAcentral. Lineage: Eukaryota; Viridiplantae; Streptophyta; Magnoliopsida; Solanales; Solanaceae.
UCGUCAUAUGUCAAUUGCGCAUAGUUUGUCAUUCAUCAAAACCUACAAAUAUGAACACACGUUUAGUAUAGUGCCUUGAGAACGUGUUUCAACAUUAAUCCGGGAGAACGAACGUCCAAUUUUUGUAAUCAGGUGAUGUCGUUAUUGCCAAGAACAACCGAGUGCUACCGAAAGGGACGCCAGAAGGCUGAAUUUGCACAAAUGGCCAUCUUUGGCUUUUUGUUUUGGCCGGUUAGCAGGCACAACCUUAAAAUCUUCCUUUGAAAGUACUGGAAGGCCAUAUUUACAAAGUUGGGCCUUGGUUUUAGAAAAUAAAUAUCAUAAAAGAAAGUGGUGUUUUAAUGUUUUUGAGUCAAACAUAAUAAAGUCUUCAGAUACUAAUUUGCCCUAAUAAAUGUGCAGAAUGAGCACGGAUCAGCAUUUGCCGAUAACAUUCAUAAACAAGGUUCUCUUGGAGCUACACAUAUGGAGGAAUCACCUGGGUGAAGUGGGGAAAAACAUGGUCAACAUGCAUUUGGGAGGACUAACUGGGAUGUUAAAAAUUAUCCCAUGGGGAGAUAUAAUAAAGGUAUUGAUCACAUUCUAGGACCCGGCUCACAAUGUAUUCCAUUUCUCUGAUUUCGAACUCACACCGACAUUGGGAGAAUCAUUAUCAAAAUUAAUCCGGGAGUAAGAAUCUAUUAUCAAAUCAUCAACUAAAACGAGAAAGACACAUAGUCAAGAACUGUAUCUAAUCUAAAACCUAAGACUAAUGCGACUAAAAUUAUCAAAUGAAAUAUGUAAAAACGGGAAUAGACGUUGAUAUUAAUUAGACUAACUAAAGUAAAAUUUAUAAUUGAAAUAAAAGUUAACCGAAAAACAAUACCAAAUCUAAAUGGAGUUCAUCAAUAUUUCCAAUUAAAGCAAGUGACUAAAACAAAGCGAAUUGUGAACAAAGAAGUAGAAAAAUAAAAAUAAGAAUACAAAAAAUAAUAGCAUAUGGGAUUACUUACUGAUUGAGUCUUCAAUUAGAUAUUGACUGGAUUCGAUUUGAGUCUACGAACAGAUUUACAGGUUUGUUUUUGGCCAAAACUAACAUGCAACUUCAUUUGAAACUCAAGAGGCUUUGAAAAAAUUCAACCUCAAAAUUAGGAUAAAUCCAUAUUUGAAAUUUGAAGAGCCUGGGUUUUAUUCGAAUGAAAUUGGAUUUGUUUUUGGGUAGGGGAGGCCAAGGGGAGUGUGGGAUAUCAAUUUGGAAGCCAUUGGAGCCAGCGCCACCAUGGACAGCGUAGCUGCCGCUCCUUUAAAGGGAUAUUCGAUGCAAUUGGCCGGGCUUUGAGGGGUGAUUUUAGGGGGGUUGGAAAGAGGAGAAGACGGGGAACCUGGGGUGUGAAUUUGGGCGGAUUUGGGGUUUGCCGACGGCGGGCGGUGGAGAUACGGUGGUGGUGGGGUAGUGUUACACCGGAUAAUUUUAGGGUUCUUUGGACAUGGUACGAGGUCUAUAACAGGGGGUGUUAUAUUAGACAUUUAAAUAGUGUGACACCUUCUCAUCUUGACCUUUUGAUCAAGACUGAUCAACGGCUCAGAUUCUUUAAUGUAAAACGACGUCGUUUUGAGCCUGGGGCUUUUGGACCGGGCAGGGCGUUGGGUUUGGGUCAAUUUAGUGGGUCUCGGAGUUUUGGGCAAAAGUUUAUGAUUAAAGUGGCCCAUAUCUUAGUCUUUAAAAGCCAAUAUUAUAUACAAUCAAUUAUUCUUUUUUGUAUAUUUUUAUUUUAUUUUUUUUCAGAUUUUUAAUAACAAAAUAAAAAUAGCCAAAAACAUAUUUAACAUGAAAUAAACUAAAUAAACUCCUACAAUAACCUAGACUCUAAAUUUCAAAGAAAAUUAACCAAUUUUUGUUGUUGUUAAUUUUGUUUUUUCAAUAUUAACUAAUAAAUACAAACGAGCCAUUUUUAUAUUUUUUAUGAAUUAUAUUUAUUAAAACGUGCAACAUGCAAAUAAACAUAAAAUUAUGCAGUUAGUUCCUAAAAUUCAAAAAAACACAAAAUCACGCAAAAUAAAUCCUAAAAAUUCAAAUAAUAAAAGAAAUAUACAAAUAAACACAAAGUCAUACAAUUAAUUCCUAAAAAAUUCAAAUAAUAACAGAAAAAUCCUAAUUUAAUGAAUUUAUAGGAACAUUUCAAGUGAGGCAAAAAUCACGUGCUCAAACUUAUUAUUAUGUUUUUUUUUUCAGUAUGGACAUGACCUUCCUCAUCACUACUCGACCGAGAUUAGGCUUGGCACUUACUGAGUACCGCUGUGGUGUACUCAUGCCCCUUCUGUGCAUGUUUUUCAUGUGCAGAUCCAGGUACCACCACCCAGGCGUAUCGCCCUUGUGUCAGAGAGAUCUAGUAGGGACUUCGAGGUAUAUCUGUCGCGUCCGCAGACAAAGAAGUCUCUCUCUUAUUCUGUGUGGUCACACAUUAAAUGAAAAUAUUAUUAAUACAAUUAUUAAAUAGAUAAGAAUAGUAUUAAAAUAUUAAAUUGGUUUAAAAUCUGUCCACGAGCUCUAGUGGAAAAUCACUUCAAGUCGCAUAUGGUGCAUCAUAAAACCAGUCAAGAGCUUCAGUGAUUAUUUUUGUAGUCUCGUGAAUAGUUAUGAACAUGCAGUAUAGAAACUAUAUUAAAUAAACAAGAAUAGCUAUUAUAAUUUAGUAAAAGCAAAGAAGUAAUAAAUAAUUUUACCCAUUUCCCUCAGGCCUGAUGAUCAUCCUAAGAUAAUGAUCAUAUCACACUACAUUUGGAUCAUCAUCCUCAUGUGUAUCUGAAGCGUGUAUAGAAUGGGUGGCAUCUGGCUCAGAGCUACUAUCUUGAAGGCGAAGUCUAUAAAUGAUAGGAGACGCACUCAGUGGAUAGGGAGAUAGGGUCAUUGAUAAAGAUGGAUGUGAUCUAGACUCCUAUUGUGAUUCAGAACCCUGCUGCAAUUUGGAUGGAUGUAAUCUAGAUGAAUGGAUCCAGAUGGUGGUGAAGCUAAUCGCAUGAUAUAAUCUUGUAUUUUUGUCUCUUAUUACACUCUAAUUCAAUGCACUUUACUUGUGUUUGAGAUUUAAAUUCUAGUAUUUUACACUUUUGUAUAGUUAAUAUAUUGUAGGAGUGAUUCAGAGUUAUAUAGAUGUUAUGAAGCUAAUUCGAGCUGUUUUGAGCUUUAAAGUCUGAUUAAAAGCAUAAGGGAUUAAGCCACGUUCGCAUUUGAUGGUCGAGAACCAUGUUUGGACAUUAAAAAUGAAGCAAAAAGCCAAGAUCUAAGGAUUUUACACAGCCACAAGGGGUGGGGCAGUGCGUGGGAAUCGUGGCUAUGCAUUUUUUGCUUCCUGGAGACUAUUACAUGCUCUAUGAUAACCCCCACAAGGGCCUUGUGUGGCGUGUUUCCCCAUGCAACGCUCUGUGAAAGUUUUCUAGACCGAUUAUCCUAUUUCGGCUAGGAAAAGGUGGUUUCGUCUAGGCCCCGACCCUACUUGAUGUCAAUACAUGAAAAAAAAUUAUUUUCUUGACUUUUGACAUAUUUUAGACCUAAGGAAGCUAGGGAGGAGUUGGAAGAGCAAAAGCACAAAGAUUUCAUCAUUCUUUCUCACUCAAGACUCGAGUUUGGAUUGGAUUUAUGUUUUCCUAUACUUUUAUUAUAUUUGUGAAGAAUUAAUCCAUUUCCAUGGAUUAGUUCUCUUUAGGAUUUGAUGGAUUUGGUGUAUUGAUAUUUAUUUGUGAUUUAUAACUCUAGUUUUAUGUAUUGAAGCAUUUUUGGAUGAUUUAAUUAUUGCAUCUAUAUUCUCUUGUUCAUGUAAUCAACAGAGGGAUAACUUGUAAUAUCUUACAUUAUAUUGUUGGUUGAGUUCAUUAACUCUUUUUAGUAAUCGAAAGAAGCUAGUUAAACCACUGAUUAAACCUAGUUAGGAGGAUAAUCGAGAGAGGUUCUACUAAAGACUAAUCCACUAUGCAUUUUUGCUUAUCUUCACAGAGCUUCAAUUGGUUCAUCUCGUGAGAUUGAGGCUUAAUCAACAAAAGAGUUUCUACAAAACAUUUGAACUAAUAAUUGAGUGAAUUCGAGAGACGCGGUUGAACAUUAGAAGUGAAUUAUCUAGAGUUAGAUCCCAAAGAAUUAUCUUUCAGCUACCCUUUAUAAACCCCAUCUUCUCCCACUGAUAACCUUCUUCGCUUGUUCAUUGUUUUAAUUGUUACUAGUCAGUAGCUUUAGAUUCUUAGUUAAUUUUAGUAUUAAUCAUAUAAAUCUCAAAUACCGAUCAUAUUAGAUAAUAAUCAAGCUAGAAAACACGAGAAUACUAUUUAAUUCUAAUCUAUGUCGAUGCGAUAUUAUAAUAUAUUGCAUUUGAUUAGAGAGCAUAAUUUAAGUAUGUGUUUCAUGCUGGUCAAUUUUUAGCACCGUUGUCAGAGAUUGGCAAUCAAUAGUGUUUGAAAUAGUUUGUAGUGCAAUUUAGAAAUUUUGUUUUUAAAUUGUUUUUUUCCUUUUUACGCUUGGUGUUCAUUGAUUGUGAGCAGGUUUUAGAUUAAGAUUGGUGCAUAACUCGAGCAUCUACAAAAAAAGUGAUACCAUAUGAGGCAUAGAUAGAAAAUCAACUGCGACAGUUGAGGAAGGAGAAAGAUCUCAUCAAGACAUCAGGAAAGGUUGGCCAAUCUUCAACCAAAAGAACUAUGGCUAGAAAUGGUGGUGAUAAUGCAGAUUUGGCUGCAAGAGAGGCAGACCAACAACAAGAAAAAGUUUUCAAGAAUGUUAAGAACCAGCUAUCAGAGAUGCACAUAGUAUCUACAAAGAAGAGAGGGCUCGGAGAGUUUCUCAAAAUCAACCCUUGGCUGUAGACCAGUUUAGAAAUAUAUCUCCGGAGCCUAGGAGAUCACUAGGCGAUUAUGCUAGAUUGGUCUACAAUCAAGGCUUAUCAAAUGUUAAACUAUCUCCAAUUGUAGCUAAAAACUUUGGGUUGAAAAAAGUGUUGCUUCAAACCAUUCACAACUGUUGUAUCUUCGAAGGAAAUAUGAAUGAAGAUCCAAAUACACAUCUAAUAAGAUUGGAGGAGAUUAUGAACACCUUUCAAUACAAUGGUGUGUCACAAGAUGCAGUGUGCUUAAGGGCAUUCCUUUUUUUGCUCAAAUAUGAUGCAAAGUAGUGGCUUCGAAGCUUGCCCACGGGAACGACUAAAACACAGGAUGAGAUGACCAGAAAAUUCCUUGAUAAAUAUUUCUCCUCAGUUAAGAUGGGCAAGUUUAGAAGAGAAAUCCAUAACUUCUGCCAUAAAGAGACUGAAAUAGUUUUUAAAUCAUGGGAGAGGUUUAAGGAGACAUUUUGAAAGUGUCAACAUAGAAAAAUUCAACUUUGGAUGCAACUCCAAGUUAUUGAGAUGGAUUGACAGCGGACUCACCUAGAACAUUGAGCAACGCAGCUGGAGGCACAUUGAUGAAGAAGACUCUAGAAGAGAUAGUUAUAAUUCUUGAUUAGUUAUCUGAAGAGGCAAAUUAGUGGCCCUUUGAGAGUGCUGACAGAAGAAGAUCAACUGGUGUUCACCAAGUUGAUGCUAACACAUCUAUGCAGGUACAGCUUGACGUUAUGGUAAAAGAAAUACGAAAUUUGACCUUAGAUACAAUGGAAAGUGAGCCUUACUCAGCUUGUGAUAUAUGUGGAAGAGGACACCUUACUCAUGAAUGUCAAGCCUAAACUGAGGAAGUUAAUGUAGUGGAAAAUUAUAAUUUUAAUGCAAUGGGUUAAAAGCACCGCAAUAUUUCAUGGAGUUCACCUGGGAGUACUGCAAAUGUAUGGCAACAAAACAACCCUAGAUUUCAGGGACAAGGAGCUUCAGGCUUUAUGAAUCAGUAGAGGCAUUUCAUGCUCAGCAGCCUAGUCUUGAAGAUUUAUAGCGUAGUCUUGAAGAUUUAAUAAAGACCUUCAUUGUGAAAACAAAUGAAAUAUUUAAAGAAUAAGGGGUAGCAAUUCGAAAUAUAGAGAAGUAAGUGGAAUAGAUUGCAACAACAUUAUCUGAGAGAGUUCCAGGAACUCUUCUUGCUGAUACUAAGAGAAAUCCCAAAUAAACAGUGGAUUUUGUAAUCUUGAGAAGUGGGUAAGUGUUGAAAGAUCUCACCACGAUCCAAAAAGAUAUGAUACUUGAAAAUAAAGUGGGAGCAGUUGAAGAAUGAUGCUAAGAAAGGCCAGAUGAAAGCUAAGAAAAAGAAGAAGGGAGGAACAUGAUAUGAGCGAGCAUAUGCCUACAUUUCCCCUAAAAGCUAUAUAGAGAAAAGGUGGACAAGCAGUUUGACAGAUUUCUGGAGAAGGAAAGGUAAUGUCAUUAACCUCUAUGUUAGAGUAAGUAAGUGGGUUGUGAAAAUGUGCGGUGCUUUUGAGUCAUAUCUUGAGGCGAGGAUGUUACGUCAUUGUCCUUAAUCUAUUUUAAAUAUUCAUGGUAUGAUGAGUUGGGGGAGUUGUUGAAAAAGUUCGUGCUUAUAUAAAGUGUAGUUUGAUUGCUCGAGGAUAAGAAAUGGUUUAAGUGUGGGGUAUUGAUGGUUGGCUACAAUCUCGUAUUUAGUCGCUUAUUUCACUCUAAUUCACUACAUUUUACUUGUGUUUGAGCUUAAUUGAUAGUAUUUUUCACUUACAGUGUAUUUUAUGCCUUGUACGGGUGAUUUUGAGUUAUGUAGAUGUUAUGGAGCUAAAUUGCGCUAUUUGGAGCAUUGACGUUUGAGUAAAGCCCAAAGGAUUAAGCCAGAAUGCAUUUAGGGGUCGAGAACAACGUCGGGACAUCAAAAAUCAAGCAAAAAGAAAAGUUCUGAUUAUUUUACACAGCCAUGGCGUGUGAGGCAGCGCAUGAGGCACUGUGGUUGUGCAUUUUUACUGCCUUGUGACUUUUACAUGCACCUUGAUAAUCCCCACAAGGACCCUUUGUGGUGUGUCGCCCCAUUUGACGUGCCUGUGUAAUUUUUCCAGAGCGAUUGUCCAAUUUCGGCAAAGGUAGUUUCUUCUGGGCCCGACCCCACUUGGUAUAAAUAUAUGAAAAGUAUUAUUUUCUGGACUUUUGAUAUAUUUUAGACCAAAGGAAGAUAGCUAGUAGUUGGAAGAGCAAAAACACAAGGAUUUCAUCAUUCCUUCCUCACUCAAGACCCGAGUUUGGAUUGAAUUCAUGUUUUCCUAUACAUUUAUUAUAUUUGUGAUAAAUUACUCCAUGCCUAAGAGUAUUUCUCUGUAGGGUUUGAUGGAUGUGGUGUAUUGAUAUUUGUUUGUAGACUAUAAAUCUAGUUUUUUGUAUUGAAGCAUUUUUGUAUGAUUUAAUUAUUGCAUCUAUAUUCACUUGGUCAUAUAAUUGAGAGAGUCAUAACUUGUUAUAUCUUUGCAUUAUAUUGUUGGUUGAGUUCAUUAGUUCUUGUUAGUAAUCAAAAGAGGCUAGUUGAAUCAUUAAUUAAACCUAGUUAGGAGGAUAAUCGAGAGAGGUUCUCCUAAAGACCAAUCCACAUUCUUGCAUAUCUUCACAGAGCUUAAAUUAGUUCAUCUCGUGAGGUUGAGACUUAAUCGAGAGAGGAGUUUCUAAUAAAAGUUUGUACUAAUAAUUUAGUUAAAUCGAGAGACUCACUUGAACCUUAGAAGUGAAUUAUCUAGAGUUGGAUCCCAGGAAAUUAUCGUGCACCUAUCCUAUCAAAACCAUAUCUUCUCCCACUGAUAACCUUCUUUGCUUGUUAUAUAUUUCGAUUAUCAUUUGACAAUAGCUUUUUAUUAUUAGUUAAUUUUAGUAUUAAUCAUAUAAUUCUCAAUUGUUGAUCAUCUUAAAUAGCAAUCAAGCUAGAAAAUAUGAAAAUAUGGUUUAAUUCAAUUCCCUAUGGAUACGAUAUUAUAUUGUACUAGUAUAUUUUAUUAGCAAGCAUAAUUUAAGUGUAUGUUUUGAUCCCGUCAAAUUUUGGUCCAGCUGGCGGUGAAGCAAAUUGAGCAAAUGACGGGUGUAUCACCAUAUAGUCUUGUAACUGCUGAUAAGGUGAAGCAAUGUCACUAUAUGUAGGAUUAUGUAGAGGAAGAGGGAUAUAACCCUGUGGUGAAGAAUGGUAAGAAUACUGGUACGAGGUGAAUGGCAGGUAGCAUGAUGAUUAUAUGAAUUUGGUGGAACAUAUGCGUGCCUAGAAGAUUGAUGUCGUCCAUCUACAGUAGAAAGAUGCAGGUGUAGAGUAGAAUGAAGCAAGGGUGUAGCUCUCCUCCUAAUCAAUACACCUCUUAUCCUUCCUAGACCUACCCCGGCCCGUACUAGUCAUCUAUAUAAAUUAAAGAAAGUAUUAGAAUUGAGAAUAUAAAUAUAUAUAAGCUAAGAACACUUGAAAAGACUAACAUGCUAGUCAUCUUUGAUGUAUCCUUUCUCGUCCGAAAAUUCUUCCUUUUCACUUAUUUCAUUUUCAUCGGCUGAUUCUUCAUCCUCAUUUUGUAUGUUUGUUAUUUCAUCCAUAUCAACUUCUUCUAAUAUGCGUGAGGAUGCCCCAAAUCAUUUCUAACUGAUUCUCCCACCAUUUGGUUAACACUUGAGGUAUUGUUUGGUUAGCAACAUCUGGCAUAUUCUCAACUUACACCCUACCAACAGGCUUAGUUUUUAUUACAACUAAGCAAUCAAUCCGCAUAAGAUAUAGACCAUAAUACAUUUGCCUAACAUUUUUAGUAAUUAUUAAAGUAUCACAGCGAUCAUACUCCUUCUUUUUAUUAACCUCAAUUAUGUUGUAUUGUAAGUGUACAUUUGUGUCUCUUCUAGGUGCUGGGUCAAACAACUUGCAUCGCAAAAGUAUGAUCUUCUUAUUUGACCAAUCUGAAUAUGAUAAUUCUAGAAUCUCUUUGAUCAUACCAUAAUAAUCAUUAUCCCCAUCCUCGUUGCCUUCACUACCUUUAACACACACCGCAUUAUUAUUGCUUUUUUAUACUUGGAGCGUUCCUCGGUGUGAAAUUUCUAACCAUUCACAAAAUACUUAGACAUAGUUGUAACCGUAGGUGCAGGUCCCCAAGAUAUAUCUUUCAAAAAUUGAUUAACAUCGUUGUUUGGAUUAUUGACCUACAUAUACUAUUUAAAAAUUACUAGUGCACAAGUAUAUUCACAAGUUACUGAGUAUGUAUAUUCACAUCUAAGAAAGUAUGCAAGUUGACUCUUUAAACAACACCUGAAAUGUAGAAUAUGCAACAACAUAGGAAAAUUGACUCACGAAAUCACGAGCGAUACAUUGAAAAUUUUGUUAGUUGCGUCAACCUUAUUAAAUAAUAGACCAUGUAAAUUAAUAUUAUAUCAACACUUACUUAAGAAAGGGUUGAACUUCUGGACAAUUUAGCAAUAUAUGCAUUAAAGCUGAUUUGUACUCCAUACUACUUAGACCUUUUUUUUAUCGGUGCUUAUAACCCCCGCCUAGUUGAUUGAAUAUGGACAUUGGUAGAUAUAAUAGAGCAUUCUUAAUCAAUACAUUGUCCCAAUUGGGCCUACUUCUAGAACAUGUCACAUGACUCUCAAAGUAGUAAGAACAAAAACAGGCAGUUUCCUUUGCAAGAUAGGUUUCAUAUAUACAUCCUUCAAUCAUGUUCCUUUGGCUAACAAUUCGCUUACACUUGCCGAUAAUCUUGCACAGUGUCAUAUUAGACGAUAAUGUUAAAGAAAAUUACAAGAAUGAAUCAAGGCUUGGUCAUUAUAUCUCGAUAGAUACAUCCACCUGCAUUAACCGGCCCUCCAAGUCAUGCAUUGUGUACAAGGUGAAUUAGAAUAUGGUCAUUCACAACAAAGAAAUCACAUGGAAAAAUCCUUUCCAACUUAUUAUUGAUUACAGGAAUGUACAGAUUCAUUUCAAAUAGAUUUUCUUCCCUUAAUGUGGUAGAACAUCAGUCUAUGAAGAACAAACUUAUCUCUGUAUUGAGUUUCUAGAUUAUUUUCAGGCAAACCACAAAAUGAAAUAGGGAUUAAAGUUUUCAUGAAUAUAUGACAGUCAUGACUUUUCAUAUGAGUCAGCUUUGCAUGUUUUCCCAGGUUCAAAGCAUAUCCCUCAAGCAUCAUUAGGUUUGAAUCUAUUGUCUCUGUUCCUAAGUGAAUAUGUAGCUGGCCUUGGGCUUGAAUAUCUUACCAUUUUUCGCUGAAUGCAAAUGUAAUUCUAGUCACUUGCAAUAUUCUUGUAAGUCCAGUCUAGUCUUUGGGUUAUCUUUUGUCUUAUUCUUAGCAUCCAUCACUCUACUGAACAAAUUGUCAAAAACGUUGUCCUCAAUAUGCAUGAUAUCAUGAUUGUGUUGGAGAACAAUACUUUGUUUGUCUAGUUAUGGGUAACAUCAUAUCCACAAAAAUCUAGAAGGUGGAGCCUUGGUAACUUUAGUGAAGCUCUAAACCCUCCAAAAUUUUCUCACCGGAAAAAAUUGGAGGUGGCAAAUCAUAUUCAACUAUAUUCGUUUUUAAUGAAUUCUUCUUCCUUCUGAACUCAUGAUCAACUAGAAAGAACUGACCAUGAAAAUCAAACCAUGACUGCCUUUAGUCAUGUCUUACAGUGAACGUUUUAUCAUUAUCCAUGCAGUAAGGACAAGCUAACUUUCCAGCAGUCAUUCACCCAAACAAUAUUCCAUACGCAGAAAAAUCAUUAAUAGUCCAUAUUUAAUUAGCACACCAAGUUAAAAUUUUGCUUAGCUGAUAUGUCACAUGUCUCAACUCCAUCAUACCACAACUGUUUUAGCUCAUAAAUCAAUGGUUGCAAAUAUACGUCAAUCAAGUUUUUUGGAUUACAGGGAUCCGGGAUAACACAAUUGAAAAAAUAUAUGGACUAGUCAUACAUAUUUUAGGUAAAAGAGUAUACGUCACAAUAAAGAUUGACCAGCAUGAAUAUGGAAUUGCAGAAACACAAAAUAGUGUGAAACCAUCAGCACACAAACCCAGCCGAACAUUCCUCGAUUCACUAGCAAAAUUUGGAUACGUCCUAUCAAAAUGCUUACAAGUUUCCCUAUCUGAAAAAUGAAAGAUAACACCGGGCAGACUUCUAUUUUCAUAGCGACAUCUCAUAUGAGGAGCGAAACUCAUUAGCGUGUACAACCAUUUUAAUCUAGGAAUAAGAGGUAAAUAAUACAUUGACUUCACAAUAACCUUCUUCCCGCUAGAAACCCGCUUAAAAUAUUUUUUUCACAAAACUUACAACUUUCUAAAUGUGCAUCACCUUUAUAAUACGAACAUCUUCACAAUAAACGAUUCUCAUAUACGAGAGUCCUAACUUAGAAACCAAUCUUUUAGCCUAAUAGAAAUCAUCAGGUAUGUUGAAAGUUGGAUUAACUAGUUCACUCAUAAUGCCAAUGAAAGAAUCUAUACCUAUUUGAGAAAUAUUGGUAUCUCAUUUGAUACUUAAUAAUCUAACAACAACAGAUAAUUGAGAGUGUGUAUCCCCUUCACAUAAUGGACGACUGGCGACUAUCCCCUUCACAUAGUGUGACGCCUAGAGACCUCUAACUAUUCAUAAAAAUUUCUUCGUUAGGAGCUUGUUCAACAAAUUCAUAAGGUUCAAACUCGGAGUGUAUCCAAAAUCAUCCGCAACCUUUUCAUGGUAUCUAGGAUGUUGAACGUUGCUCUCCACCGACCUACUGCUAUCACCAACAACUAGGUUGUAAAAUACACAAUCACUAUCAUCAACCUCUCCAGGACUAAUCCCCACAAAAUAAUUAUCCAUAAAUCUCUUUCUAUAAAGAUGAGUCAUGACAUCUCCAAACCCAAAAAAAUCAAACACUUGCACUUCAUACAAGGACACUUAAUCAUCCCUCCAAUCAGAAAUAGUUCAAGUGACAUUACAUGCCUAAUAAAUUCCUUAACCCCUUCUAUAAAUUUCUCCCUUAAAAUCGAUGAUUCGGAUUCUAUUAUACAUCCAACCACAUUAUUCCAUCUACUCAAGAAAAAAUAAAUUACAUGUUAUAUUAAUUGCCCAUUCAAAUUAAUUUAUAUUUUAUGUUACAUAAUAAACUUUACUUACAAAGUAGUUAAUUUAAAUUAUUUGAGUGUAUAUUAAUUUUAAAGUUCUCAUAUAUAUAAUAGGUUUUUUUCCAAAUUUAAUUAGACCAUUAGCGUGCAAUAUAAUUGAAAGACUUGCAAGCUAGCUAACACUAGCAUUAAUCAUAAUUAGACUAACUCAUUCAAUUAUAAUUUGUUAACACAUUCAAUUAGACUAACUUGUUCAAUAAUAAUUUGUUAAGACAUUUAAUUAGACAAACACAAUUAGUCAACCCUAAUUUUUUAAAAGUGAUCACUAAUAGAACAAUAUUAUUAUCCCCUAAAUUAGUAAAUCCUAAAUUUCUGAAAGCAAUAAACACUAAUAAAAUAAUAAAUUAAAUGCUAAAUUUAAGAAUUAAGUAACUUUAAAAAAACUAGGUGACUAACCUUCAGGUGGUGGAAGCAGUAGCGGCUGAAUAAUGGUGAGAAGGGAGGCAAGUGGUGGAAGCAGCGGCGACGGUGGAGCAAUGGUGGUAGAGAAGAAAGUGAGGCAGCGACAGCAAAGAAGUGGAAGCAGUAGCGGUGGCUGGGAUGGGGAUAAGAGGGGUCUUUCAUUUAGGGGGAGAAGAGAGGUAGGAAUCGAUUUUGGGUGGGAUUUGCAUGAAAUCCCUUAGGGUGGAGGAGAGAAUAAGAGAU